GACGAACGCUGGCGGCGUGCUUAACACAUGCAAGUUGAACGAGAAUUUUUCGAGUGAUUUCUUCGGAAUGAUCAUGAAAAAGGAAAGUAGCGAACGGGUGAGUAACACGUGAGAAACCUGCCUUUCACAAAGGGAUAGCCUCGGGAAACCGGGAUUAAUACCUUAUGAACCCAACCACUCGCAUGAGGGAUUGGUUAAAGAUUUAUCGGUGUUAGAUGGUCUCGCGUCUGAUUAGCUAGUUGGUGGGAUAAAAGCCUACCAAGGCAACGAUCAGUAGCCGGAUUGAGAGGUUGAACGGCCACACUGGAACUGAGACACGGUCCAGACUCCUACGGGAGGCAGCAGUGGGGAAUUUUGCACAAUGGAGGAAACUCUGAUGCAGCGACGCCGCGUGAGUGAUGAAGGUCUUCGGAUUGUAAAACUCUGUCCUUAGUGAAGAUAAUGACAGUAACUAAGAAGCAAGCCCUGGCUAAAUACGUG
Molecule: ribosomal RNA, 480 nt
Filed under: uncultured bacterium
Lineage: Bacteria
Description: partial 16S ribosomal RNA
Rfam family: Bacterial small subunit ribosomal RNA
Source: RNAcentral